RNAcentral lists this unclassified non-coding RNA (202 nucleotides) under Hevea brasiliensis (rubber tree). The record is from RNAcentral. Lineage: Eukaryota; Viridiplantae; Streptophyta; Magnoliopsida; Malpighiales; Euphorbiaceae.
AAUAAAAAAAAAAAGAAUAUAUUUGUUACAUGCAUGAGACAACACCUCCCAACACCUGGCGCAAUCACCUUUUGGCCCAAGGCGAUCACCUUUUCAAAUCCAGGUGAUCCUUAGUUAGGCGAGUCGCUACUUUGACACCUUUAAGCACCCCUAACGAUACUGAACUUGACUCAACUGCAUUUUCACUCUUCUAGCUCCAACA